UGGGACUCGGACUCGGAGAGAGAAACCUUGGAUGAGGAAGAACUUCAGCACUUUUCUAACCCUCAUGGUCUGGCUGCUCACAGCCCAGGAAGUCCCACCUCUGGACAACAAGAAGACAGAUUUGACAUUGAUCCGUGCCAAGAACCUGUGGAAACCAAGCAAUUAUUUCUUGAAAAGAUCCCACUUGCCCCCCUGAAGGUGGAGAAUCAAGGAGAUGUUACAUACAAGGAGACGAAAACUACAGACUACAGCCUAUCUAAACGUACAGCAAAACUGGAACAAGACAAAGUGAGCCAUCUACCAGAUACUACACCAAAAGAGGGAUGCCAAAAAG
RNAcentral lists this long non-coding RNA (334 nucleotides) under Sinocyclocheilus anshuiensis. RNAcentral's name for it is "lncRNA (ENSSANG00000001170.1)". Lineage: Eukaryota; Metazoa; Chordata; Actinopteri; Cypriniformes; Cyprinidae. The record is from RNAcentral.